UGGGGUUAGGUUAUGCUUCAAAUGUGCUCUAUCUAGACUGAUUCAACCACAAAAUCAAAAGAUUAUGACAAAUCAAAUAGAACCAAGGAUGAAACUAGAGUAAAGUAGUUCCCUUUGUUUUCUAUUUACUUGUAUUUGUUUUUUUUCCCAAUAGUUUUGAAGCAUGUGAUGCUUACAGUUUAUGAAGAUGUAUAUUCACAUUUUAGUUUCUGACAUCCAAAGAAACAAGGCCGAAAGGAGUAAAACAAGAGUCAUGCCUAACUAGAGGACUUUCCAAAAUGACAAUGACUGCCCUAUGAGCUGUUCAAUGUACUCUCCCGCUUCUCCUGCAAUUUAGAUACAGUAAUUAAGAAAUUAAGUCUAUGAAGCACUCAGACAGUGUGCCAUAAAUGAUAAAGACUUCCAUGAAACGGGGAUAACACUAUUUUACUAUCCCCGGCCAAUAACGCCAUAACACACGUGAUAACACUUCCACGUCGCAUAGCAUUAUUGGCCGGGUAUAGCAAAACAAUGUUAUCCCCAUUGCAACUAAGUUUUUCUCGCCAUAAGGGGUCAUUAAAAAAAAUUACCUGUCAUCAAAGCAUGUAAACCCUUAGCUGCAGAGAACACUGGAAUAUGCUACGGUCAGUCAUCCAAGCGCGUGUGGUCAACUAACCUUAGCAAAAUCCAUACAAAUUUACAGGUCGGCAUAAACAGCUGAAACAGAUGAAACAGACACGAUGGCUUGUGAUGUGACCAAAGUAUACCAAUCAUAUUGAAAGGUUAUUAAAUACAAAGGUAAGAAAAUAGGAUCAGUUUUAUCAUUAUGAACAGAACAUGUAAAACAAAUAAGUAAAAUAUGAUUAAGACUUUGGCACCACAAAGCUAGCAAAACACUUUCGUGUAUGCAUAUAAAAGAAAAUAACUGUAUACAUACUUUGUAAGAGGUGGCCACUAUAGAGAAAUUGUCAGUUCAUGUCUGCAGGUGGACAGGCAAGAUUAGAGCUUGGUACAAAAUAUGAAUAUCUAAGAGUUAUUGUCACUGUGCAAUGAACCCAAGCUGCUCUCAUGUUGGAGAAACAGUCGGGAAAAGAUUUGGACAAUGAAAAUAACCAUGAUGCUGCCAUAAAUCCCUUUGAGGUCAAGCAAACCAUCUGGGAACUAACAAAGGUGAAUGCCUAAAACAGGGUUUCUGUAUUUUAAAAUCUAAGGCAUCAUAUACAAUUACCAACAACAAUCUGC
This 1221-nucleotide long non-coding RNA is filed under the name Prunus persica (peach). RNAcentral describes it as "long non-coding RNA (PPER_LNC005718)". Lineage: Eukaryota; Viridiplantae; Streptophyta; Magnoliopsida; Rosales; Rosaceae. The record is from RNAcentral.